Long non-coding RNA from Rhinolophus ferrumequinum (greater horseshoe bat), 3392 nucleotides. RefSeq lists it as uncharacterized. The transcript is spliced from 3 exons. Lineage: Eukaryota; Metazoa; Chordata; Mammalia; Chiroptera; Rhinolophidae. The record is from RefSeq and is a predicted model, not a curated record.
GGUGGCAGUAGGAGGCAUCGUGUCAGUUCUGCCACUAUGAGACCCUGGGUGUGACUUCUCAGAUGUGGUCACCUUCCCUGGUUCUGUGUUGUGGGCACCCCUCCAGGACCACAGGCUGUCUACCAUCUCUGCUGCAGUUCCACUAUGUUCUUGGCUCCCAAAUCCUGGCCAGAUCCUGAGCUCAGCCCAACGGGAAGCAGCUGACCACAUGAUCAGUAACCUGACUGGAGUAAGGCUGGAAAACGAACCAGAUGAGAAGUUGAUGCUCUACGUAGUGACUUGGUCAAGAAAACCGAUCAGGAAGCUGAAACAUGGGUGCUGCAGGAAUGCCAGGUGUCUGUGACCCAAAGCCAGCCUGUGGUAGAAGGCCUUUUAUUUCUGAGUGACUUUGCCUUGAAUCAUGCGGACAAUAAAGAACUUCCAAAGAAACAGCCCCAUAAGCCCAAACUGAUAGAUUUCAGAGACGAACAAUGAGGCACUGCCUCUCUGUAGACGCCCUGUUGUGCCUCAGCCUCCGAGUCAGUGUGGAAGGCAAACACCCUCACACAUAGAUAUGCUGCCUGUGAGUCACAAAAGCAACCCACUGACUCUCCAUAAUACCUGUGGCAUUCUCCCUACUGUCACAUCCGAUUGAAAUCUCUCCCAUGAGGGAAGCAAUUCUCCAGCGAUCUCACAAUUUUCCAUCAGAAAUUCUACAAGCAGAGAAACCACAUGACCCCAAAUUAAACUUGUAGAUAUUCAUCCGAGAGAAGGGAAGUGGCACAAAGUUGUAUACAAUGGUUCCCUAGCAGCUUUAUUCAUAAUAGAUUGGUGAGUCUUCUUUAAAGACUGAGGCUAAGUUUACUUCAAAACGAGAAUGUAUUUUCUCCUCGAACUGUCCGCAGGAUUCCAUAUCGACAGAGUGUCUGAAGCUGCCUCUGAGAGGGACUCUAGGCAAGCUGACAUGCUCACAAAUAUCCAGGAACCCUAACGCACUCUCCCGGCCCAGGGUUUCCUGCAGAUAUGCACAUACUGACCAGCAGUUGCAAGAGCCUCUCCAGCAGGCCCAACUUAUUUUGGGCGUUCUAUUCUAGGCAUCUUCUGGCCUUAGUAUCAAAACCCAAGUGCUCAGCAUCUGGAUCUUCAGUGCCUGAGGGCUGCGUACCUGGCUUAGCAGCAUCACACAUAUUACCUCUUGAUCAUCACCAUGUAUCAAGACAGUAGGUCAUGUUAUAUGCAUCUUGCAGAUGAGAAAACUAGUCUCCACAGAGGUGAAGUGACUUGCCCAAAGCCACAUAGCUGGUGAAUCUUGGGUUGGGAUGGAACCCACAUGAACUGGCUCCUGCAGUAACUGAGGUUACCCCGUCAUAGGUAGAAUGAACUAUUGGGAGUGAUCGCUGAGCUGCACCAAAGGGGAGCAUGAGGGUCUCAUCCCAUGAGGACAUACACUGCUGCACACUGUUCUGUCAGUUUGGCCAGGCUGUAUUUCCUGUCCUGCAGUGUCUAACAAGCUUCCACACACAAGAAUGGCUUCACCCAUCGGCUGGCCUUGAUGCCCUCCUGGGAUGCCCAGGCCAAGAGAUGGGGUUGAAGCCCUUGAGUUCUAAUCUUAGCAUUUUACAAGAACUGAGUGAUUCCUCACAAUAGCCCUAUGUAAUAAGUUCUGUUAGCAUCCCCAUUUAACAGGCAAGAAGGACCCCCAUCCUCUCACAGCUAGUAAGUGGCAAAGUCAGAACUAACAUCCAGGUUUUUUCCUGACACCAGCGCUGGGCUUUAAUCUCUAUCUUCUCUGAGAUUAGAUGAAAAAAGGCAGUGGGGGCGGGAAAGGGGUUGCUGGUGCAAAAAAUGAGGGUCUUAGCUCCUUUGCAGUAGAAUAGCCAUUUCUGGGUUCAGUGGCAAAGCAGUAAUGGAGCCAGAGGCUGCUGGGGACAAUCUCUCAAGUCAGGCCACAAACAAGUGGGAGAGCAACCAAUUAGAUUAGGACCUUAAUCACAGGCUUGGCUCAGAGCCUAGUAGCAGAAGCUUACUGAAGCCCCGUGGCUAAGAAUUUCCCACUAGGCUGCUCAACCCUCUGCACUCAGGCAGCCCAGCCCCACCCCAUCCCCACCCCUACCUUCUGGACUUGGAACUUGGAGCCAUGGGAACUUGUGAAUCAAAUUCUGGCCAAGAAUUUGACAUGUUGGGUGAGCGACUCAUUCCAAACCUAAUAGUUCAUCGUUAUGGGGAAGUCCUUCUCCAAGCUAUCAGCGCACAAAGUGAUGCCUCCAACCCUUCUGCCCUUUCUCUCCAACAUUACUGUACCCAGGCACCCACCCUCCUUCCUCUUGUCUUCACAAAGAGACCGCUUGUCCUCCAGGCCUAGGUGAUGAGGAAGCCCCUUCCCUCCCAGUCCUCCUUCAGUCCACCCAUUUCUGCCACACCACAGGGCUGUUCUCUGCCUUCUCUGGGGUUAGAAGCAAAGAGAGCCAGGGAGAGGCGUGCUAGGGUGAGAGGUAACAAAGAUGCAAAUGGCCGUGUGGCUAAAACGGUGACGCAGCAACACAAAACUAAAGGUGGCUGGAAGAAACGCGGAGAGCCCUGGAGUCCCAGCUCUCCGCAGGCAGCAUCCGGGGGACCCUUUGCGCGGGGGAUGCUGACCCCUGCUGGCUGCACGCGAGAAUGCAGCGUGGCUGCCGCGGGACCAUGACAGUGACCUGGUAGUCACCGACCGCCCCUGGGAAGGGCUGAGCUCGUGGUGCGACAACAGCCCCAGGACCUGUAGGAACUGUAGGGAAGGUGAGCAAAGGCAGGGACCGGGAGGGCCCGGGCAUCAGAGGCCCUGAGUUCUAGUUCUACCCCCACAACCUUCCGGUAACAUUGCAGACUGCCUCAGCCCCUCCCAGCUCUCAAAUGCUAUCACCUCCUUACAUGCUUUAGGAGAAGAAUAAGAAGAAAAAGUGUAAAGAAGAAAAACUAUAGUGUAAAUGACUGACAUCCCUUUAGGGCCUACCUGGGCCUCCAAAAGGCUUCCAUCCGCGUUUUCCUCAGAACCUGCCAACUCCCAGUCCUGAGCCAGUGAAGCAGCGUUCAUCUAACAGAUGGUUACUGACUGAUGGUUGGAUGGCGGCUUCCAAAAAUAUCCAGGUGCUAAUCCCAGAAACCUGUGACCAUUACCUUAUAUGGCACAAGGGACUUCACAGGUGUGAUUAAGCGAAGGCUGUUUGAGACGGGAGGAGGAUCCCGAGUUUUCAGGUGGUCUGGAACCAACCCUGCAAUAUCUUUGAAGUAUGCCUGUAAGUUGGAGGCAGAGGAAGACCAUACUACAGAAGAGAAAGAAAGCCAUAUUACAAAGGGAAGGGAGCAGAAAAAGAGAAAUGUAAGAUGCUAUGCUGCUCACUUUAAAGUUGGGUAAGGGGCCACGGGCCAAAGAAUUC